GCUUGCAUUUUUGUUCAUUCAUUAUUCAAGAAUUCAUUCAAGCAUCAAUCAUUCCUUUCCAAAUUCAAAUGGAAGAUUUUGAAUUUCAUCAAGAAAAAUAUCAAGAUUCAAAGUUCAUAAAGAUUCAAAUGUUUACAAUUACAAAGGAAUUGAAAGAAAUUAUAUGCAAAACAAGUUUCCGUUCAUGUUACAAUUUUAUUUGGAUUUACCACUACAAAGUUACAAGGAAUUACAAGUUUGUACAAACUAUUAUUUCUAAUGUCCCAAAAUUCCAGCCCAAUAUCAUGUUGCUGCCCAUAUUUUCCAGCCAUGUUGCAAAACAAUAA
Non-coding RNA from Vicia faba (fava bean), 326 nucleotides. The record is from the annotation of a GenBank genome assembly. Lineage: Eukaryota; Viridiplantae; Streptophyta; Magnoliopsida; Fabales; Fabaceae.